GGCUCAAUGGUCUAGUCGUAUGAUUCCUGCUUUGGGUCCUGUUUGAAGACGCAUCUGCAGGAGGUCCCGGGUUCAAAUCCCGGUUGAGCCC
Molecule: non-coding RNA, 91 nt
Organism: Coniochaeta pulveracea
Lineage: Eukaryota; Fungi; Ascomycota; Sordariomycetes; Coniochaetales; Coniochaetaceae
Source: the annotation of a GenBank genome assembly